Molecule: ribosomal RNA, 2385 nt
Filed under: Escherichia coli
Lineage: Bacteria; Pseudomonadati; Pseudomonadota; Gammaproteobacteria; Enterobacterales; Enterobacteriaceae
Description: partial 23S ribosomal RNA
Rfam family: Bacterial large subunit ribosomal RNA
Source: RNAcentral
GGGACACGUGGUAUCCUGUCUGAAUAUGGGGGGACCAUCCUCCAAGGCUAAAUACUCCUGACUGACCGAUAGUGAACCAGUACCGUGAGGGAAAGGCGAAAAGAACCCCGGCGAGGGGAGUGAAAAAGAACCUGAAACCGUGUACGUACAAGCAGUGGGAGCCUCUUUUAUGGGGUGACUGCGUACCUUUUGUAUAAUGGGUCAGCGACUUAUAUUCUGUAGCAAGGUUAACCGAAUAGGGGAGCCGAAGGGAAACCGAGUCUUAACUGGGCGUUAAGUUGCAGGGUAUAGACCCGAAACCCGGUGAUCUAGCCAUGGGCAGGUUGAAGGUUGGGUAACACUAACUGGAGGACCGAACCGACUAAUGUUGAAAAAUUAGCGGAUGACUUGUGGCUGGGGGUGAAAGGCCAAUCAAACCGGGAGAUAGCUGGUUCUCCCCGAAAGCUAUUUAGGUAGCGCCUCGUGAAUUCAUCUCCGGGGGUAGAGCACUGUUUCGGCAAGGGGGUCAUCCCGACUUACCAACCCGAUGCAAACUGCGAAUACCGGAGAAUGUUAUCACGGGAGACACACGGCGGGUGCUAACGUCCGUCGUGAAGAGGGAAACAACCCAGACCGCCAGCUAAGGUCCCAAAGUCAUGGUUAAGUGGGAAACGAUGUGGGAAGGCCCAGACAGCCAGGAUGUUGGCUUAGAAGCAGCCAUCAUUUAAAGAAAGCGUAAUAGCUCACUGGUCGAGUCGGCCUGCGCGGAAGAUGUAACGGGGCUAAACCAUGCACCGAAGCUGCGGCAGCGACGCUUAUGCGUUGUUGGGUAGGGGAGCGUUCUGUAAGCCUGUGAAGGUGUGCUGUGAGGCAUGCUGGAGGUAUCAGAAGUGCGAAUGCUGACAUAAGUAACGAUAAAGCGGGUGAAAAGCCCGCUCGCCGGAAGACCAAGGGUUCCUGUCCAACGUUAAUCGGGGCAGGGUGAGUCGACCCCUAAGGCGAGGCCGAAAGGCGUAGUCGAUGGGAAACAGGUUAAUAUUCCUGUACUUGGUGUUACUGCGAAGGGGGGACGGAGAAGGCUAUGUUGGCCGGGCGACGGUUGUCCCGGUUUAAGCGUGUAGGCUGGUUUUCCAGGCAAAUCCGGAAAAUCAAGGCUGAGGCGUGAUGACGAGGCACUACGGUGCUGAAGCAACAAAUGCCCUGCUUCCAGGAAAAGCCUCUAAGCAUCAGGUAACAUCAAAUCGUACCCCAAACCGACACAGGUGGUCAGGUAGAGAAUACCAAGGCGCUUGAGAGAACUCGGGUGAAGGAACUAGGCAAAAUGGUGCCGUAACUUCGGGAGAAGGCACGCUGAUAUGUAGGUGAAGCGACUUGCUCGUGGAGCUGAAAUCAGUCGAAGAUACCAGCUGGCUGCAACUGUUUAUUAAAAACACAGCACUGUGCAAACACGAAAGUGGACGUAUACGGUGUGACGCCUGCCCGGUGCCGGAAGGUUAAUUGAUGGGGUCAGCGCAAGCGAAGCUCUUGAUCGAAGCCCCGGUAAACGGCGGCCGUAACUAUAACGGUCCUAAGGUAGCGAAAUUCCUUGUCGGGUAAGUUCCGACCUGCACGAAUGGCGUAAUGAUGGCCAGGCUGUCUCCACCCGAGACUCAGUGAAAUUGAACUCGCUGUGAAGAUGCAGUGUACCCGCGGCAAGACGGAAAGACCCCGUGAACCUUUACUAUAGCUUGACACUGAACAUUGAGCCUUGAUGUGUAGGAUAGGUGGGAGGCUUAGAAGUGUGGACGCCAGUCUGCAUGGAGCCGACCUUGAAAUACCACCCUUUAAUGUUUGAUGUUCUAACGUUGACCCGUAAUCCGGGUUGCGGACAGUGUCUGGUGGGUAGUUUGACUGGGGCGGUCUCCUCCUAAAGAGUAACGGAGGAGCACGAAGGUUGGCUAAUCCUGGUCGGACAUCAGGAGGUUAGUGCAAUGGCAUAAGCCAGCUUGACUGCGAGCGUGACGGCGCGAGCAGGUGCGAAAGCAGGUCAUAGUGAUCCGGUGGUUCUGAAUGGAAGGGCCAUCGCUCAACGGAUAAAAGGUACUCCGGGGAUAACAGGCUGAUACCGCCCAAGAGUUCAUAUCGACGGCGGUGUUUGGCACCUCGAUGUCGGCUCAUCACAUCCUGGGGCUGAAGUAGGUCCCAAGGGUAUGGCUGUUCGCCAUUUAAAGUGGUACGCGAGCUGGGUUUAGAACGUCGUGAGACAGUUCGGUCCCUAUCUGCCGUGGGCGCUGGAGAACUGAGGGGGGCUGCUCCUAGUACGAGAGGACCGGAGUGGACGCAUCACUGGUGUUCGGGUUGUCAUGCCAAUGGCACUGCCCGGUAGCUAAAUGCGGAAGAGAUAAGUGCUGAAAGCAUCUAAGCACG